Molecule: ribosomal RNA, 625 nt
Filed under: Suillus sibiricus
Lineage: Eukaryota; Fungi; Basidiomycota; Agaricomycetes; Boletales; Suillaceae
Description: eukaryotic LSU rRNA
Rfam family: 5.8S ribosomal RNA (bases 221-375)
Source: RNAcentral
AGGAUCAUUAAUGAAUUUAUAAUCCGGCGAGACGAAGGACGAGGACUGUCGCUGGCCUUUCAUCGAGGCAUGUGCACGCUCUCUUCUGGACUUUCGCCGUAUGGGCGCGGGGCGACCCGCGUCUUCAUAUACCUCUUCGUGUAGAAAGUCUUUGAAUGUUUUUACAAUCAUCGAGUCGUGACUUCUAGGAGACGCGAUUCUUUGAGACAAAAGUUAUCACAACUUUCAGCAAUGGAUCUCUUGGCUCUCGCAUCGAUGAAGAACGCAGCGAAUCGCGAUAUGUAAUGUGAAUUGCAGAUCUACAGUGAAUCAUCGAAUCUUUGAACGCACCUUGCGCUCCUCGGUGUUCCGAGGAGCAUGCCUGUUUGAGCGUCAGUAAAUUCUCAACCCCUCUCGAUUUGCUUCGAGUGGGGCUUGGAUAGUGGGGGCUGCCGGAGACCCGGAAUUCAUUCUGGGACUCGGGCUCCUCUGAAAUGCAUCGGCUUGCGGUCGACUUUCGACUCGCGCGACAAAGCUUUCGGCGUGAUAAUGAUCGCCGUUCGCUGAAGCGCAUGAAUGAAUGGUCCCGUGCCUCUAAUCAGUCGCCGCCUUCUGGGCGUCUUCCUUAUAGACGUUGACCUCAAAU